AAAUAUAUAAAAGAGCAUUUCUCACAGAGAGAGAGGGAGAGAGAAAGGAGAGUCCAGAAGUGUUCCACCCAAGUUUUAGACAUUUACCUGAGAUAACUGACUUGGAAACUCGCUGCACACCUGAGAUCUGAGGCACAUUCUGGGAGGUUCUGUGGACUACACUCCCAACCUGUCCAGUGAACACCAAGGACAGGCAGGAUGAAAUUCUCUGGCUGGAGCUGAGCUCAGUGGGCUGACAGACAGAAUAAUGCUGUACCUGGCCACAAAGAAAGCUUCCUGACCAGCACACCAGGAAUCAAAUGAGGCAAUUUAACUGGAAGAGCCCACUCUGCAGGAGACAGUAAAAGCUGCCACGUACAAGAUUUAAGAGAACUGAGGAAGAAGAGGAACUACUACUUUGACACCAGGCUUGAGAAGAUGGAUUCUGUCCAGGAAAUCACACUACAUCAGCUUAUGUGCAGGUGCUCCUCUCCAAGGGCACGCCCUGGCAUGGAGGAAAUACGGCUGCACCUCCCAGCACAGCCCUUGCAGCUGGAUUUUCAUGUUGGAACAGAGAGCACCCCAAGGCAGCCCCAGUGCACCUGCCUGGAGUCGGCUGGGAAUGUAAGGUUUGGACUUUCAAUUUCAAAGCUGCUGGUUUUGUUCCUUCUGUAAGCUUUGUAGCAAUUCCUUCUAAGAUUCAGUCAGGAGUGAUACGUGCUCUGGCCAUGACCAGAGCAUCAUCCUGGAUUAAAAAUGUCCUGGAUUAAAAAUGUGCUGACUGCUCUAGGUAACCAUCCUGAGUUGUUCAUGUUCUUCUGCAGUUGGACAGAGUAAUGCAGAAUGUAUUGUGUGAAAAUUGUCACCCCAGCAAGUUAACUGGGUGCUUAUUUUGGCAGGAGAGAUUGAACAGGCUGUGAUAAAAAACAAAAAACCCCAAACAAACAAAAAAGGAAAACAGCUCCCAAUUUCUGAUCAGUAACUGGGCUUUCACAGUUUAACAGUUAGCCAGCAAAAGUUUUGGGGAAAAAUACUCCCAAACUUGUGCAAAACAAGGUUACAUGUUAAACAGGCUAAAUAAGUUUAUAUUGUGUCUCUCCCAUUACAAAUGUGUCCCUACAGUACAGUACAGUAUUUGUAUCAAUUGGGCUGUAUGCAUCCAGUGGGAGAACUAUUAAGAAAUUAAUUGAUUUCAUUGUUAGGCUGUUUCACUUCCUUCCUCCUCCUGUCCUCUCAAGUUUACAUCUUCCUUCAUUUCCUGUUCUAGCUCUAUAAAUCACUCUCCUUCUUGUAUAUCAAUAUUUGCCUUGAAACUGCAUUCCUCUCAGCCACUCAUUUUUAAAUUAGUAAGUAAAACCAUAGGAUUUCUUUGGCAUGGGUUACUCUGUGCAAGCUCUGGCUGUUGGCUGUGGUUGUUCUGCUCAUUUAUGACCAGACUGCUGGCAGUACACGCACCACACUCAGCUCCAGGUGUUCUUUCCCUCAAAACCAGAGUAGUGUCAUCUUCCAGGUUCCUCAAGCCAAGACAAACCAAAAAAUACAUCCUUGGUGUGACUAACUAGAGGUCAAACCUGUGGAGAUCCAGCAGCCUGCACAAAGAAAUUCUUCUGCCUCACCAUGCAGGUGAAAUAGUCUUCUGAUAUAAAGUUGAAUAAAAUGGCCUGAUUUCAGUCCUCUGUGGGAUAGAUACUCCUUACAUGAAGAACCAUUUGAGCUCUGUGGCAGCCUGUCAAGUGUGACUAGUUUAUCAGAGAGGAUUCUUUGCAGAAGGUAGAGCUGAUUAGAUUGGUAAAAGAGAUUCCAGAGAUCUGCAGAAGGCAAGCAGACACAGAUCUUGCUCCAGCUUCAUCCAAACUCCGCUCUACCACCCCCUGUGCAGCUCAGGAUGUGUUCCCUGUCUGGGGCAGAUACACCCAAGGCAGAAAACUCCUGCAAAAGAUUUGACAUUGUCCCUGAAACACAAAGUGGGCUGACACUGAAGAUCACUACAGGAGCUUAUUUCUCACCAUUCCCCUUUAUAGCCCUUGAGCAAGCAGGGAAACACAAAUGGUUCUUGAUGGGCAUAACUGCUGCCAAAACUGUUCUUUGGAGGAAUCAGAAAUGCAUACCUAUGCUUUAUGAGCCACUCACACAAGGACAAAGCAGACAAACUGAAUUUUAUUUGGUUUACAUUUGAAGCCUUAGAUUUUAAGCACUUUUCUUCAUGUUGGUCCAACUGACCUUGGCACUUUUAUCUUUAUGACAGAGUUUAGGUGGAGUCCAAAGAUAAAAUUCUCUCUUUGGUUUCCUGCUUCCUCUUCCUAUGAUACUUAAAACUGGUGAGCACAGGGUAUCUUUGUGAUAAUCUUACAAACAAACUGCAUGCUAGAUUUUAGAUAGUAAGCAAAUAUAAAUGUGUAUAUCAUCAUCUGCUUGUGUUUUACAGCUGCAAGUCAUACCUAUUCUUUGGGCUUAAAGCCACAGUAUUUUAUUUAAACAGUAUUGGUUGUAUGGCAGAUAAAUAAAUACAAGAAGAGACAAUUUAUCUACAUUUGCAAUGAAAGGGUCAUGAAGUCCUUGCUAUGAGGCAAUGAAAAUAACACAGAACUAUAAAUGAGGAGAUACCAUCCUCAAGUAAGCAAUGAAAAGCAUCAACAGAAGAGAGAAAAAGCCUGGAAUGAUCUUUCCAUGGCACAUGGCUCAAGCCCUGUGUUCUCCUGGGUAAGUGACACAACUUCCAUGGGGUUCAACAGCACUCUGCCUGGCGUUUGAGUAUCUGGAAGUGAGGAGGAACAGAGCAGCAAACCUUUACUUCAACCAGGCAACACAGAAAGCCUCCAACUGCAAAAUUAAACAGGGAGCUCCAGGAAAAGAGCUGCCUAAACAAAACUCCCCAAGACCUGACAUCUCCAAAACACAAGAGAAGCAGAGAAGAACUGAAAUGCCCCCAAGGACCUGUGACUCCUGAGUUUUGCUGUGAUGGAUCAGCCCUCCAGAAACAAGAUCUGGAACACCACCAUGGGCAGCACCGUGCUCAGUUUGCACAGACAGAGGGAACAUAAGUAAAACUGAUAGCAGUGAAAACUGAAAGUGCUAUGCUGGCUGAGUCAGUCCUCUAGAUGAUUACUGAUGACAUCUUAUCAUCUACAAACCCAAAACAUCUAGAAAAGACCAAUGAGAAAGACAGAAUUGAUUUUAGUGAAGACCUGCAACCUAUAUAAACAAAUGCUGUCAAUGUUGAAGUGUAAAAUUUCUUCCCCAAAAGGGCUGUGCCACCCAGGGCAGUGGUGGAGUCACUUCUUAAUAU
Parus major (Great Tit) is the source of this 3265-nucleotide long non-coding RNA. RefSeq lists it as uncharacterized. NCBI's taxonomy places the organism in Eukaryota, Metazoa, Chordata, Aves, Passeriformes, Paridae. The transcript is spliced from 3 exons. The record is from RefSeq and is a predicted model, not a curated record.